AGUUCGAUUCUGGCUCAGAUUGAACGCUGGCGGGAUGCUUUACACAUGCAAAGUCGAACGGCAGCACGGACUUCGGUCUGGUGGCGAGUGGCGAACGGGUGAGUAAUGUCGGAACGUGCCUAGUAGCGGGGGAUAACUAAAGCGUAGCUAAUACCACAUACGCCCUUCGGGGAAAGCGGGGGACCUUCGGGCCUCGCACUAAUUAGAAGCGGCCGAUAUCGGAUUAGCUAGUUGGUGGAGUAACGGCUCACCAAGGCGACGAUCCGUAGCUGGUUUGAGAGGACGACCAGCCACACUGGGACUGAGACACGGCCCAGACUCCUACGGGAGGCAGCAGUGGGGGGUACGGACAAUGGGGAAACCCUGAUCCAGCCACCCCGCGUGUGCGAUGAAGGCCUUCGGGUUGUAAGCACUUUUGGCAGGAAAGAAACGGCACGGGAUACCCGUCACAACUGACGAACACCUGCAGAAUAAGCACCGGCCUAACUACGUGCCACGGCGCAGCCGCGGUAAUACGUAGGGUGCAAGCGUUAAUCGGAAUUACUGGGCGUAAAGCGUGCGCAGGCGGUUCGGAAGAAAGAUGUAAAAUCCCGGAAGCUUAACUUUGGAACUGCAUUUUUAACUACCGAGCUAGAGUGUGUCAGAGGGAGGUGGAAUUCCGCGUGGCAGUGAAAUGCGUAGAUAUGCGGAGGAACACCAUUGGCGAAGGCAGCCUCCUGGGAUAACACUGACGCUCAUGCACGAAAGCGUGGGGGAGCAAACAGGAUUAGAUACCCUGGUAGUCCACGCCCUAAACGAUGUCAACUAGCUGUUGGGGCCUUCGGGCCUUGUGCGUCUUCAACACGCGUGAAGUUGACCGCCUGGGAGUACGGUCGCAAGAUUAAAACUCAAAGGAAUUGACGGGGACCCGCACAAGCGGUGGAUGAUAUGGUUAAUUCGAUGCAACGCAGAAAACCUUACCUACACUUGACAUGUCUGGAAUCCCGAAGAGAUUUAGAGUGCUCCUCAAGAGAACCGGAACACAGGUGCUGCAUGGCUGUCGUCAGCUCGUGUCGUGAGAUGUUGGGUUAAGUCCCGCAACGAGCGCAACCCACUUGUCAUUAGUUGCUACGAAAGGGCACUCCUAAUGAGACUGCCGGUGACAAACCGGAGGAAGGUGGGGAUGACGUCAAGUCCUCAUGGCCCUUAUGGGUAGGGCUUCACCCGUCAUACAAUGGUCAGGACAGAGGGUCGCCAACCACACGAGAGAUAAUCCCAGAAACCCGAUCGUAGUCCGGAUCACCGGUCUGCAACUCGACUGCGUGAAGUCAGAGGCUCGCUAGUAAUCGCGGAUCAGCAUGUCGCGGUGAAUACGUUCCCGGGUCUUGUACACACCAAAUACACCAUGGGAGUGGGUUUUACCAGAAGUAGUUAGCCUAACCUAGCAAUGAGGAAGCAGGCGACCACGGUGGAGUUCAGCGACUGGGGUGAAGUCGUAACAAGGUAG
This 1486-nucleotide ribosomal RNA is filed under the name uncultured Bordetella sp. RNAcentral's name for it is "partial 16S-23S ribosomal RNA intergenic spacer". It matches the Rfam family "Bacterial small subunit ribosomal RNA". The record is from RNAcentral. Lineage: Bacteria; Pseudomonadati; Pseudomonadota; Betaproteobacteria; Burkholderiales; Alcaligenaceae.